AGAGUUUGAUCCUGGCUCAGAACGAACGCUGGCGGCGUGGUUAAGACAUGCAAGUCGAACGUGGCCUUUGAUUUCGAUUAAAGGUCUAGUGGCGAACGGGUGCGUAACAGGUAGGUAACGUGCCCUGUGCUUCGGGAUAGCGUCUCGAAAGGGGCGAUAAUACCGGAUGCUGUCAUUGAGCGACAGUUCAAUGAUGAAAGGGUAACCGGCACAGGAGCGGCCUGCCUCCUAUCAGCUUGUUGGUGAGGUAAAAGCUCACCAAGGCAACGACGGGUAGCGGGACUGAGAGGUUGACCCGCCACAUCGGGACUGAGACACUGCCCGGACCCCCACGGGGGGCUGCAGUAACGAAUCUUCCACAAUGGGCGAAAGCCUGAUGGAGCGACGCCGCGUGCGGGAAGAAGUCCUUCGGGAUGUAAACCGCUGUCAGGGACAAGAAACUCCCGGUUCGCCGGGAUUGAUCUACCCCUGAGGAAGUCACGGCUAACUUCGUGCCAGCAGCCGCGGUAAGACGAAGGUGGCUAGCGUUGUUCGGUAUCACUGGGCUUAAAGGGUAUGUAGGCGGAAUGGAAAGCGUCGUGUGAAAGCCCUCGGCUUAACCGAGGAAUUGCUCGGCGAACUUCCAUUCUUGAGGCAAACAGGGGUGCGCGGAACUCUUGGUGGAGCGGUGGAAUGCGUAGAUAUCAAGAGGAACGCCGGUGGCGAAAGCGGCGCACUAUGUUUGCACUGACGCUGAAGUACGAAAGCGUGGGGAGCGAACGGGAUUAGAUACCCCGGUAGUCCACGCCGUAACGAUGUGUACUAGGCUGUGGUAGUUCUGACACUUUCACGGCCGAAGCAAAAGCGUUAAG
Molecule: ribosomal RNA, 851 nt
Filed under: uncultured organism
Description: bacterial SSU rRNA
Rfam family: Bacterial small subunit ribosomal RNA
Source: RNAcentral